This 503-nucleotide ribosomal RNA is filed under the name uncultured bacterium. RNAcentral's name for it is "bacterial SSU rRNA". It matches the Rfam family "Bacterial small subunit ribosomal RNA", at positions 29 to 518 of the family's 1533-position model. The record is from RNAcentral.
AACAAACGCUGGCGGCGUGUCUUAAGCAUGCAAGUUGAGCGGCAAGGAGGAGAGAUCCUCCCUAGAGCGGCGGACUGGUGAGUAACGCGUGGGUAAUCUAUCGUAGGCAUGGGGGAUAGUCACUAGAAAUAGUGGGUAAUACCGAAUACGUUCCAUGAGGGGAGUAUUCAUGGAAGAAAGGGUGCUACGGCACUGGCCUUAGGUGAGCUCGCGUCCCAUUAGCUAGUUGGUGAGGUAAAGGCCCACCAAGGCGAUGAUGGGUAGCCGGCCUGAGAGGGUGUACGGCCACACUGGGACUGAGAUACGGCCCAGACUCCUACGGGAGGCAGCAGCUAAGAAUAUUCCGCAAAUGGACGAAAAGUCUGACGGAGCGACGCCGCGUGGAUGAAGAAGGCCGAAAGGUUGAAAGUUUUUUUGCUAGGGAGAAUAAGUGAGGGAGGGAAUGCCUCAUGAUGACAAGGACUAGCGAAUAAGCCCGGCCAACUACGUAGCCAGCAGCCGAC